Molecule: ribosomal RNA, 496 nt
Filed under: uncultured bacterium
Lineage: Bacteria
Description: partial 16S ribosomal RNA
Rfam family: Bacterial small subunit ribosomal RNA
Source: RNAcentral
AUUGAACGCUGGCGGCAUGCCUUACAUAUGCAAGUCGAACGGUAGAGGGGGCAACCCCUCGAGAGUGGCGAACGGGUGAGUAAUGCAUCGGAACGUGCCCAGUAGUGGGGGAUAGCCCGGCGAAAGCCGGAUUAAUACCGCAUGAGACCUACGGGUGAAAGGGGGGGAUCGCAAGACCUCUCGCUAUUGGAGCGGCCGAUGUCAGAUUAGGUAGUUGGUGGGGUAAAGGCCUACCAAGCCGACGAUCUGUAGCUGGUCUGAGAGGACGACCAGCCACACUAGGACUGAGACACGGCCCAGACUCCUACGGGAGGCAGCAGUGGGGAAUUUUGGACAAUGGGCGAAAGCCUGAUCCAGCCAUGCCGCGUGCGGGAAGAAGGCCUUCGGGUUGUAAACCGCUUUUGUCAGGGAAGAAAUCCUUUGAGCUAAUACCUCGGGGGGAUGACGGUACCUGAAGAAUAAGCACCGGCUAACUACGUGCCAGCCGCCGCAGUAA